RNAcentral lists this ribosomal RNA (468 nucleotides) under uncultured bacterium. Its description in RNAcentral is "partial 16S ribosomal RNA". It matches the Rfam family "Bacterial small subunit ribosomal RNA", at positions 28 to 507 of the family's 1533-position model. The record is from RNAcentral.
GACGAACGCUGGCGGCGUGCUUAACACAUGCAAGUCGAACGGAAAGGCCCUGCUUUUGUGGGGUGCUCGAGUGGCGAACGGGUGCGUAACACGUGAGUAACCUGCCCUUGACUUUGGGAUAACUUCAGGAAACUGGGGCUAAUACCGGAUAGGAGCUCCUGCUGCAUGGUGGGGGUUGGAAAGUUUCGGCGGUUGGGGAUGGACUCGCGGCUUAUCAGCUUGUUGGUGGGGUAGUGGCUUACCAAGGCUUUGACGGGUAGCCGGCAUGAGAGGGUGACCGGGCACAUUGGGACUGAGAGACGGACCAGACUCCUACGGGAGGCAGCAGUGGGGAAUAUUGCACAAUGGGCGGAAGCCUGAUGCGGCAACGCCGCGUGCGGGAUGACGGCCUUCGGGUUGUAAACCGCUUUCGCCUGUGACGAAGCGUGAGUGACGGUAAUGGGUAAAGAAGCACCGGCUAACUACGUG